Molecule: ribosomal RNA, 492 nt
Filed under: uncultured bacterium
Lineage: Bacteria
Description: partial 16S ribosomal RNA
Rfam family: Bacterial small subunit ribosomal RNA
Source: RNAcentral
AGUGAACGCUGGCGGUAGGCCUAACACAUGCAAGUCGAACGGCAGCACAGUAAGAGCUUGCUCUUACGGGUGGCGAGUGGCGGACGGGUGAGGAAUACAUCGGAAUCUACUUUUUCGUGGGGGAUAACGUAGGGAAACUUACGCUAAUACCGCAUACGACCUACGGGUGAAAGCAGGGGAUCUUCGGACCUUGCGCGAUUGAAUGAGCCGAUGUCGGAUUAGCUAGUUGGCGGGGUAAAGGCCCACCAAGGCGACGAUCCGUAGCUGGUCUGAGAGGAUGAUCAGCCACACUGGAACUGAGACACGGUCCAGACUCCUACGGGAGGCAGCAGUGGGGAAUAUUGGACAAUGGGCGCAAGCCUGAUCCAGCCAUACCGCGUGGGUGAAGAAGGCCUUGGGGUUGUAAAGUCCUUUUGUUGGGAAAGAAAAGCAGCAGGUUAAUACCCCGCUGUUCUGACGGUACCCAAAGAAUAAGCACCGGCUAACUUCGUG